This 20-nucleotide microRNA is filed under the name Corchorus olitorius. RNAcentral's name for it is "bta-miR-22". The record is from RNAcentral. Lineage: Eukaryota; Viridiplantae; Streptophyta; Magnoliopsida; Malvales; Malvaceae.
UGAUUUUGUUGUUUUCUUUU